AACGAACGCUGGCGGCAUGCCUAACACAUGCAAGUCGAACGAAGCCUUCGGGCUUAGUGGCGCACGGGUGCGUAACACGUGGGAAUCUGCCUCUAGGUAGGGAAUAACUCAGGGAAACUUGUGCUAAUACCCUAUGAUGUCUUCGGACCAAAGAUUUAUCGCCUAGAGAUGAGCCCGCGUCGGAUUAGCUAGUUGGUGAGGUAAAGGCUCACCAAGGCUACGAUCCGUAGCUGGUCUGAGAGGAUGAUCAGCCACACUGGGACUGAGACACGGCCCAGACUCCUACGGGAGGCAGCAGUGGGGAAUAUUGGACAAUGGGCGAAAGCCUGAUCCAGCAAUGCCGCGUGAGUGAAGAAGGCCUUCGGGUUGUAAAGCUCUUUUACCCGGGAAGAUAAUGACUGUACCGGGAGAAUAAGCCCCGGCUAACUCCGUGCCAACAGCCGCGGUAAAACGUCUACUG
RNAcentral lists this ribosomal RNA (460 nucleotides) under uncultured bacterium. RNAcentral's name for it is "bacterial SSU rRNA". It matches the Rfam family "Bacterial small subunit ribosomal RNA", at positions 29 to 534 of the family's 1533-position model. The record is from RNAcentral.